UGGCAAAAGGCGGCGGGGGGUGGAAGAACUGUGAGACAGGUAAAAUAUGUCGUAUGCUAGCCUUGUAGUUGCUUCCAGGAGUACGGUAGUACAUGCUCCUGACUGACUGCAGGGGCAGGUGGUGGAGGAUGAGGAGGGAAAGAAAGCCAGAAAGGGGAAGAGGAUGGAAGUUUCCAACAUUGACCAGGAUUUUUUGACGGACGAUUCCACCAUUUGUCGCUUUUGUCAUCCCCACAAAAAUUAAAAGACCUCUGCGUCUCUCUAUCUUUCCCUUAUCUCUCGUAUCUUUCCCUCUUCCUCAUGCUACCUACUUUGUGGUUUUUCCAUUCAUUAACGGCGGCCCGCAGUAGUCAUCACCAUUCACAGUAACAACAACUAGUACUACUAUUUAUUCCUACCUAACAGUAGACCACCGGCAUUCAAUUCUAACCGGCAAAUUUCUCCCAACUCCCUCCUCCUCCUCCUCCAAACCCUCCACUUGGAUCCCCAAAAAAAAAAACAGCAUCAGCAACAAGAAUAAUAAUAGAAACAGCUGCUGAACUUUUCCUCCUGAUUUUCUCUCUAAAUUUUGGGUCCAAUAAUAGAGCUGGGAGAGAGAGUCAUCGAAAAACAUGAGUUCCUAUCUACGCCAGAAAUUCCGAUUUUCUUCUAUCUGGUCGUCGUCUUCAUCAUCAUCGGAAGAGGAAAAAGAGACUGAGACUGAGAGGGAGCAACUGGCACCUCUAGAGCAUCAGGUGCAAGAAGAAGAAAAAGAUCAGCAAGAUACCUCCAAACUGGACGAGAUCGAGAGGACUAAAAUCAAGGUCAUGAGAGACCUGGUCCAAAGACAGGAUCCCUCUUCCAAGGACGUGGAUGACUUUAUGAUCAGGAGAUUUCUCAGAGCUCGUGAUCUCGACAUGGACAAGGCCUCAACUUUAUUUCUCAAGUACUUGAGCUGGAGAAAAGAAUUUGUUCCAAAUGGCUCCAUAUCUCCAUCAGAAAUUCCAAAUGAGCUUGCUCAUGAGAAAUUGUUCAUGCAAGGACAUGAUAAGUUGGGGCGUCCCGUUGUGGUGGUCUUUGGUGGACGUCAUAAACCCAAGAAUCUUGAAGAGUUCAAACGUUUUGUUACUUUCAGCCUUGACAAAAUAUGUGCUAGAAUGCCAAGUGGACAGGAGAAGUUUGUUUGCAUUGCUGACCUUGAAGGAUGGGGUAUACGAACAGUGAUGUUCGUGGUUACCUAGCAGCUUUAUCCAUUCUGCAGGAUUGCUAUCCAGAGAGGCUAGGCAAGCUAUUCAUAGUCCAUGUACCUUACAUCUUCAUGACUGCAUGGAAGGUUGUCUACCCAUUUAUUGACAGCAAAACAAAGAAGAAGAUUGUAUUCGUUGAGGACAAAAAACUAGGAUCAACCUUGCAACGUGACAUUGAUGAGAGUCAACUUCCGGAGACAUACGGAGGCAAACUACCACUAGUUGCAAUUCAGGAUUGCUGAAUGCAGAUAUCCGAUGAUCUUUACCUAGUCUUUUCUGCUUAAUUGGCUUCACUUGUUGGAGGUGCAGAAAUCUCACGUCUGUCCCCGCGGAGCAAAACUUCAGUCCUAUCCUAUGGCAUCAUCAGCAUAUAGAUAAAUUUGUUGGUGUCGGAACAUCUUUUACUGCACCAUUAUUCUUUUAGUAGGCACCCGUUAUAAUUUUACUGAACCACGAAGGGACGUCUGUUGUCAUUAUAGUAAUACGUAUACGAUUUGCUUAACCAGCUGAUCUCGGCUUUUGAACUUCAUUAUGUACCCAUUUACUUCCAACUAUAAUAACACUCAAUAGCAACUUUUGUUUUGUAAAUCGUUUCUUCAGGCGUUGUCCCA
Molecule: non-coding RNA, 1837 nt
Organism: Coffea arabica (coffee)
Lineage: Eukaryota; Viridiplantae; Streptophyta; Magnoliopsida; Gentianales; Rubiaceae
Source: RefSeq, a predicted model, not a curated record